UGGGGAAUAUUGCACAAUGGACGGAAGUUUGAUGCAGCGACGCCGCGUGGAGGGUGUAGGCCUUCGGGUUGUGAACUCCUUUUUCUCGCGAAAAAGGCACAGUUUUGGCUGUGUUGUUGGUAGUGGGGGAAGAAGCGCCGGCUAACUACGUGCCAGCAGCCGCGGUAAUACGUAGGGCGCGAGCGUUUUCCGGAUUUAUUUGGCGUAAAGAGCUCGUAGGUGGUUCGUCGCGUCUGUCGUGAAAGCCAGCAGCUUAACUGUUGGUGGGCGGUGGGUACGGGCGGGGGUGAGUGCGGUAGGGGUGAGUGGAAUUCCUGGUGUAGCGGUGGAAUGCGCAGAUAUCAGGAGGAACACCGAUGGAGAAGGCAGGUCACUGGGCCGUUACUGACACUGAGGAGCGAAAGCGUGGGGAGCGAAAAGG
Molecule: ribosomal RNA, 421 nt
Filed under: Fusobacteriota bacterium
Lineage: Bacteria; Fusobacteriati; Fusobacteriota
Description: Fusobacteria bacterium partial 16S ribosomal RNA
Rfam family: Bacterial small subunit ribosomal RNA
Source: RNAcentral